This 1292-nucleotide long non-coding RNA is filed under the name Coturnix japonica (Japanese quail). RNAcentral describes it as "lncRNA (ENSCJPG00005019915.1)". Lineage: Eukaryota; Metazoa; Chordata; Aves; Galliformes; Phasianidae. The record is from RNAcentral.
UUCAGUAAUAUAAUUUACCUUCACUGACUUGAGAAUUGGACUCCUACUAAGAGAAGAAAAUUAUCUUCACCUUUACAUUUGGAAGAACGAAAUUAGUUAACCAAGUUAAUAGAAAAAAACCUGCUUUUUAUCACUCGCCCAUAUCAAAGUCCAAGAGCUCAGCAUGUAUAAGGUUUUUUAUUAACACAGAACACGGUCUUUUUAAGUAAAGGAGAAAACCAUCUUGAACCAUCUUGACAAAGAUAAAAUUAUACUAAAAAAAAUUAGUACUGAGUUGUGGAUUUCUUAGCCAAAGUGGAAACAUGGGUGUGUUCUCUUUUACUUUUGUCACUGUGUUUGCGAUGGUGUUUUUUGUCUGCUGAGAUGGAUCUCCCUGGUCUACACAACUCAAAUUUCGUUACUGAAGGAGAAAGAAACCCACACAUUUAACCUAGAAGAGACCGAGAAGCCAGCUUAAAAUCCUUCAGCUUUGUAUGGAUCUGAGCUAUAGACACCAACAAGAGAAAGAGAUAAAAGAGAACCACCCUGGAGCACUGGCCGGAAGAGAUCUGCAGGACAUUUCACUUCUGGGGAAGCAGAAAGCCUCCAGUAUGAGCAUAACAGCAGUUACAAGACAUUUCUUCCAAGCUGACCCCACUGCCUGAUUACCAGGAUGGAAGGACAGAGAGCCCUGACCAUGGGCAUAGUAACAGAGCACCAGCAGCCUCUGGAGGCAAAGCCCUGAAACCAAAGCUGUGAUUAAAUCACAGUAUUAAGAUACUUCAAAGUCUGUGACAUCAGUAAAAAUUUAGUGCAUAAUGUACUUAUUAGUGCAUGUAUUUAUUUGAUCAAGUAGGAGACUGCAGAAUCUGCCAAGAUCUGGCAGGAAUGCAGUUCCCAGCACUAAAAAUAUGAUAAAUAAGGAAAUGUAUAUUGUAAAGUUUGAAUGACACCCAAAACAUUACUGUGAUUAGCCUAGACCUCAGAUACUCAGUUUUCUCUUCCAUGAACAAUCUCAUGCUAUAGUUGAGGAUAAAGAUUAAAGGAAGACUAAAUGUGUGUUGCUGGAAAAAAAUUAUAGGUCCAAAAAGAUGUAAAAAAUCUGUUUAGAAGACUAGCUUAAUGCUAGAUCACAUCUGAGCAAUCAGCAUUACCUACUCUUAGAACAGCUGCUGAAACAGGUGCAUGGGUUUCUCCCUUAUAAAUGUAGGCAAUCUCAAAUUUUUUGGGAAUUCAAAACUACUGGAUGCUGAGAAAAGUUAGACUGUCUUCAUAAUCAUAGAAUCGUAUCAUAGAAUCGUAGAAUGGCCUGG